GGCCGGGCUCGGCCGGAGGGCGGGUGCGGGUCCCCGCGUGUCACGCUCCAGCUCGAGAGGACAAGGAGGGCAAGAGUGAUCACUGACUCGGUGCCGUGGAUGGCGGAGCUCCCGUGUUGUUCCUUACGCGUGACAGCUAUUUCAUCUCCAGGUGAUCCCAUAAAGCGGAUACUGUUAUUAGCCCUAUUUUACAAUCUGCCCAAGAGGGGGUGAGGCCUGGAAGUGAGGCGGGCAGAGAUGGGACGUACAACACGAAGUCUGGAGAGGGCGCCUCCAGAUGCUUCUUUGCAGGGCUCGCUGCCUCUUGAACCAUGAACUUUGUCUCAAAAGCCAUCUGGUUUCUUGUCUCGAAAACAUCCCACGACAGCCCUGAGUGCUACAAACCAGGCUGGGUGAUCUGCUGCUGCUGGCUUCCAGAUAUUGCUCCAAACGUUUCUGCAAGGCUGGUGAGUCCCAGGACACUGAGACUUUAGAUGCCCACUGCCCAGUAUCUGGUAGUGCUCACAAAAAAUGUCGAUGGAGAAAAAAGUAUGACUGCAACACGGGGCAGCAAUAGGUAAUAGGGAAGACCUGCGCGCACACUAGGUUUACGCCCCGCCUCAUUCGAGGCCCUUGGAGGAAGCUGGAGAAGCAUGUGUGUAGUUCAGUAACCUCCAACUGGUCUUUCUGUGCAUGAACUCAAGAGCUGGAACUGUAUUACGAAGCAAAGAGCUGGUGCUCAGCAUUCGGCAGGGAGCUCUCAGGGGCCUACGUCCAGGAUUUUAGAUGAUGUUCACCUUUUCAGAGUAACUUAACUCACAGCUUUGGGUAUUCUAACAACAGCUUGUUACACCCUUGGGCACAGUUACAUGAGGACGCACCUAUAUAUCCUUCCGCAGGUAUGGCGGGAUAGCUCCAACAAACACCUGUGCCCUGAAGAGGCAAAGCUGGCCACUGUAGUGUGGCCUCGGGCCCCACGUGAAUGCCUCAGCGCGGCCCGACUUGCUCAGCGCCCAGGCAAGGCCACAGGUGGCGCCUAGUGCUUCUGUACGGCUGAAGAACACAGCGUAGAGACCCUGAUGUUUGUUAACGGCUGCUUUUCCUUCUUUUUUUCUUUCUUUUUAAGAUCUUCUCAUGCAGCAAAGUUCCUGUCUACCAACAUGAGUUGCAGUCUAAAGCCACAGUGAAUUUUGUGACGGUAACAUUAACAAUCCAAUGGAGUAGAAACAUUCUAGUCUUCCUAUAAACAUAUUAAACAUGGAGAACAGAAAUGAUUCUAGGAAUGACUUUGGUUUUUUUAAUUCUUCUUGAGGGAGAUAUAAAGAGCAUAGCAUCUUUGAAUUCUUGAGGCACUGUCACAAUACUCCAUGUGUUAUGGAAGAGCUGACACACAAAUAUAGGUCAUUAUUACUCUCCUUUUAAGAAUUGCGAGAGAGAGAGAGAGAGAGAGAAGCUGCAGCGAUCCAGACCAGACGAUAUGGUAACACCAAACAGAAGAAGAAACGGUCAAAUACACACUCACUAUACACUGGACUCCUUACUCUGUACGUACCCUCUGU
Physeter macrocephalus (sperm whale) is the source of this 1538-nucleotide long non-coding RNA. RefSeq lists it as uncharacterized. The record is from RefSeq and is a predicted model, not a curated record. NCBI's taxonomy places the organism in Eukaryota, Metazoa, Chordata, Mammalia, Artiodactyla, Physeteridae. The transcript has 3 exons.